UAGCUAGUUGGCGGGGCAACGGCCCACCAAGGCGACGAUCGGUAGCCGGCCUGAGAGGGUGAUCGGCCACAUUGGGACUGAGAUACGGCCCAGACUCCUACGGGAGGCAGCAGUAGGGAAUAUUGCACAAUGGGGGGAACCCUGAUGCAGCAACGCCACGUGUGGGAAGAAGCAUUUCGGUGUGUAAACCACUGUCAUGAGGGAAUAAGGCCCGCUUCGGACGGGAUUGAAUGUACCUUGAGAGGAAGCACCGGCAAACUCGUGCCAGCAGCCGCGGUAAUACGAGGGGUGCAAGCGUUGUUCGGAAUUACUGGGCGUAAAGGGAGCGUAGGCGAGAUUCAAGCGGAUUGUACAAUCCCGGGGCCCAACCCCGGCUCUGCAGUCCGAACUGGAUCUCUUGGAUAGUUCAGGGGCAGGCGGAAUUCCUGGUGUAGCGGUGGAAUGCGUAGAGAUCAGGAAGAACACCGAUGGCGAAGGCAGCCUGCUGGGGACUCAUCGACGCUGAGGCUCGAA
RNAcentral lists this ribosomal RNA (513 nucleotides) under uncultured Fibrobacter sp. RNAcentral describes it as "bacterial SSU rRNA". It matches the Rfam family "Bacterial small subunit ribosomal RNA", at positions 242 to 757 of the family's 1533-position model. Lineage: Bacteria; Pseudomonadati; Fibrobacterota; Fibrobacteria; Fibrobacterales; Fibrobacteraceae. The record is from RNAcentral.